Molecule: ribosomal RNA, 464 nt
Filed under: uncultured bacterium
Lineage: Bacteria
Description: partial 16S ribosomal RNA
Rfam family: Bacterial small subunit ribosomal RNA
Source: RNAcentral
GACGAACGCUGGCGGCGUGCUUAACACAUGCAAGUCGAACGGAAAGGCCCUGCUUGCAGGGUACUCGCGUGGCGAACGGGUGAGUAACACGUGGGUGAUCUGCCCUGCACUUCGGGAUGAGCCUUGGAAACUGGGUCUAAUAUCGGAUAGGAGCCAUUUUUCUUCUGAUGGUUGGAAAGUUUUUUGGGUUUGGGAUGGGCUCGCGGCCUAUCUGCUUGUUGGUGGGGUAGUGGCUUACUAAGCCGGCGCCGGGUAGCCGGCCUGGAGGGGUGGCGGGCCAAAUGGGGCUGGGGAUCGGGCCAGACUCCUACGGGGAGCAGGAGGGGGGAAAUUUGCAAAAUGGGCGGGAGCCUGGUGCAAGGACGGCGGGGGGGGGGAUACCGGCUUUGGGUUGGAAACUCGUUUCGGUAGGGGAGGAGGUGUGAGUGACGGUACCUAGUUAAGAAGCACCGGCUAACUACGUG